ACCCUUGACAUCCAGAGAAUCUGUGAGAGAUCGUAGAGUGCCGUUCGGGAGCUCUGAGACAGGUGCUGCAUGGCUGUCGUCAGCUCGUGUCGUGAGAUGUUGGGUUAAGUCCCGUAACGAGCGCAACCCUUAUCCUUAGUUGCCAACAGGUCAAGCUGGGAACUCGUAGGGAGACUGCCGGUGAUAAACCGGAGGAAGGGUGGGGACGACGUCAAGUCAUCAUCGGCCCUUAUGGGUAGGGCUACACACGUGCUACAAUGGCCGGUACAGGAGGGCAGACGUAACUUGCGAGAGUAAGCAAAUCCCAGAAAGCCGGUCCUAGUCCGGAUUGCAGUCUGCAACUCGACUGCAUGAAGUCGGAAUCGCUAGUAAUCGCGAAUCAGAAUGUCGCGGUGAAUACGUUCCCGGGCCUU
This 413-nucleotide ribosomal RNA is filed under the name uncultured Methylomicrobium sp. RNAcentral's name for it is "bacterial SSU rRNA". It matches the Rfam family "Bacterial small subunit ribosomal RNA", at positions 977 to 1382 of the family's 1533-position model. Lineage: Bacteria; Pseudomonadati; Pseudomonadota; Gammaproteobacteria; Methylococcales; Methylococcaceae. The record is from RNAcentral.